GUUGCGGAAGCGACGAUAAUAUUAAUAACAAUAUUAUCAGAAAUAUUUAGAUAAUUAUUAUGCCAACAAUUAUACUAAGAAAAUUCCCAGUUAAAUUGGAGGGGUUACAAAUGGUCCCGCUUAAAACCCAACAACUAGACAGAACUCACUUAGAUAUUUAUAGCAAUAAUAACUAAAUAAAUAUAACCAACAUAAAGCUAUUAAAUAUAAGCAAACAAAUAAGAAAUAAAAUACCAGAGAUUUAACGAGGUUCGGCCAAUUUAGCUUACGUCCUCGGACACUACCAAAUUAAUAUUUCUUCUAGAAAUAUUACAAAUGAGAAGAUUUUGGGAUGAUACAACCAAAGGGGGAGGGGUUCUAUAUAUAACAAACCAAACCCCCUCCCUUUCUAUCUUUUCCUAAUGUGGGAUAUUGCCAAUAUUCAACAAAUCUCCACCUUGGCGAUAUUCCACAUCUUCGAACAUCUUCUCAUAACACUAACUUCAAUAGUGUCUUCAAAUUUGCAACCAAUCGCCUUCUUCCCUUUUGGUAGUUGUGCCAGCUUCCACGUCUUGUUUUUCUCUAGAGAUUGCAUUUCCUCUUCCAUUGCACCUAACCAUCUAUUAUUCUCUAAACUCUGAAUGGCUUUGGUGUAAGUGGAUGGAAUAUUAUCAACAACUGGAAGUGCAUAAGCUACCAUGUCAGUGAAACGAGCAGGUUUCUGAAUUUCUCGUCUCUGCCUUCUGACUGCAAUUGGCUCUGAUUGCUGUUGAGGUUCUUGGGUAGAAACCUCUUCCUCAUCUGACUCUGCAUCUGCCAAUGAAGAAUCACUAGUGGUACCUUCUGCUGGAAUUACCACACUCUGCUCAAACUCCACCUGCUGCGGAGUACACUCCACCUGUUGCGAAGUACUACUCACUCCUUCUGGAUUUACCUUAUUCAACAUGGCAGAUUCAUGAAAGGUAACAUCCCUACUGAUUAUCGUCUUCUUUGCCUCUAGACACCACAAACGAUAUCCCUUAACACCAGCAUUGAAGCCCAUGAAUAGAGCCUUCUUUGCUCUUGGAUCUAACUUUGAUUCUUUCACAUGAUAAUAUGCAAUAAAACCAAAAAUGCGCAAGGUGUCAUAAUCAGUAGCAGGUUUUCCAUACCAUUUCUCCAAAGGAGUCUUGCCAUUUAUAGCAGAUGAUGGAAAAUGAUUGAUGAGAUGUUGAGCGUACGUCACAGCCUCAGUCCAAAACUUUCUAUCUAAUCCAGCAUUAGAUAACAUACAUCGAACUUUCUCCACAAGCGUUCGAUUCAUACGCUCUGCCACCCCAUUCUGUUGCGGUGUUCCACCUACGGUGAAGUGCCUUACUAUGCCACAAUCUUGGCAUAUCUUUAGGAAAUGAUCGCUUUUAUAUUCUCCACCGUUGUCUGAUCGGAGAACCUUAAUCUUCCUUCCUGUCUGAUUUUCAACUUUAGUUUUCCACUUAAGGAAAACUUCAAGUACCUCAUCUUUGUUCUUCAUAGGAAACACCCAAACUCGUCUGGAAAAAUCAUCAAUAAAGGUGACAAAAUAACGUCUUCCUCCAAGUGAUGGAGUCUUGGACGGUCCCCAUACAUCAGAAUGCACAUAAUCCAGAAUACCUUUAGUAUUGUGAAUCCCAGUGCCAAAUUUCACCCUUCGUUGUUUUCCCAGAACACAAUGCUCGCAAAAUUCAAGUUUGCAAGUCUUUGUACCUUUCAAUAAUCCUUGCUUGGCUAGAGUUUGCAAGGAUUUUUCACCAGCAUGGCCCAAACGCAUAUGCCACAGCUUUGUUGCCUCAGCGUCCUUCUUGGUACUCGAAAUUGCUGCUGCUGUUGUCCCGACCACUGUACUACCUUGGUAGUAAUACAGAUUGUUCUUUCUUAUGCCUUUCAACAUCACCAAUGCUCCUGAAGUUGCUUUAAGAACUCCAUCUCGUAUUGUCACAACUAGGCCUUUAGAUUCUAACGACCCCAAAGAGAUGAGAUUCUUCUUCAACUUUGGGACAUAUCGUACAUCCCGCAAAAUUCUAGUAGAUCCAUCAUGACUCCUCAGUUUAAUUGAACCUAUCCCGGCUAUUUUACAUGUGUUAUCAUUACCCAUGUAAACAACCCCUUCAUCUAGUUUUUGAAAUUCAAAGAACCAUUCCCGAAUGGGACACAUAUGAUAGGAACAACCAGAAUCCAUGAUCCACUCAUCUGCAUAUAAUGUUGAAGAUGUCAUACUAAGAGAAAAGUCUGACUCUGCUUCACUAUUGCAUUCUGCAACAUUUGCAUCUUGCGGAGUCUUCCCUUUUUUCUUCAAUUUUGGACAAUCUUUCUUCCAAUGUCCUUUUUCUUUGCAAAAGGAACAUUCAUCUUUGGCAACAGCUCGACCUUUGGACUUUCUUCUCUUCUCAUUAGACUGACUUUGCUGACGACCUCUUGUUACCAAUGCUUCCACUGCUGCUUCACCUGAACCUUUCAACUUAUCCUUUCGGCGUAGUUCAUAGCUAUACAAUGCAGCAGUUACUUCAUUGAAAGUUACUUCCGAUUUUCCAUGAAGUAGAGUAGUUUCAAGGUACUCAAACUCCUCAGGAAGCGAUCCCAACAACAUUAACGCCAAGUCUUCGUCUUCAAAAGUCACAUCCAAAUUCAACAAAUCAGCCACCAGCUGAUUAAAAUUGGUAAUGUGCUCGUUCAUCGUGGUACCAGGAACAUAAUUGAAACGAAACAGUCUUUUCUUCAUAUGCAACUUAUUUUGACUGUUCUUCUUCAAGAAUUUCUCCUCCAAUGCUUUCCACAAUUUACUUGCAGAAGUCUCUUUACUGAAUGUAUACUUCUGCUCUCUGGAAAGACAUGAUCGAAUUGUACCACAUGCCAAUCGGUUGAUGGUCUUCCAUUCUUUAUCAUCAACCCCUUCUGGUUUUUCUUCCUCAAUGGCAAUAUCUAGACCCUGUUGAAAGAGGGCAUCUAGAAGCUCACUUUGCCACAUGCCAAAAUGACCUGUUCCAUCAAAAAUUUCCACUACAAAUCUCGUAUUUGCAGUUCCAAUCCUCGGCAAAAUGUACGAAGUGGAAGUUGUUGAUAUGGAUGGUUUUUCUUCUGUCAUUUUUGCCAUAGCUUCUACUUAAUAGCCACCAAAUGCAGAAUACCCACAAGCUUUAGGAAAAUGUUUCUGAUGUGUAAGAUCAGACUAAGCUGCAAACACAGAGCAUACUACAAAACCUUGGCUCGAAUACCAAUUGUUGCGGAAGCGACGAUAAUAUUAAUAACAAUAUUAUCAGAAAUAUUUAGAUAAUUAUUAUGCCAACAAUUAUACUAAGAAAAUUCCCAGUUAAAUUGGAGGGGUCACAAAUGGUCCCGCUUAAAACCCAACAACUAGACAGAACUCACUUAGAUAUUUAUAGCAAUAAUAACUAAAUAAAUAUAACCAACAUAAAGCUAUUAAAUAUAAGCAAACAAAUAAGAAAUAAAAUACCAGAGAUUUAACGAGGUUCGGCCAAUUUAGCUUACGUCCUCGGACACUACCAAAUUAAUAUUUCUUCUAGAAAUAUUACAAAGGAGAAGAUUUUGG
Molecule: long non-coding RNA, 3541 nt
Filed under: Gossypium barbadense (sea-island cotton)
Lineage: Eukaryota; Viridiplantae; Streptophyta; Magnoliopsida; Malvales; Malvaceae
Description: long non-coding RNA (GBAR_LNC002724)
Source: RNAcentral